ACUAUUAGGCUAAGGUGCUUCCACGACUCUAUCUUUGUCAUAUAAUUUAUUUUGCAGCUUUUUUGUUGUUGUUGUUGUGUUAAUUUACUAUGUGGAUUGUUAUUCGCAUUUGUUGAAACCUGGGCCUUAUCGGCCCAAUUAUUUUUACGAUUGUUUGUGGUUUACCCACACAAAUGCACCGGAAAUGUAGAGCCAACCAAUUAUCUUCACUUGGUUUUCUAAUUGAUCUACUAAUUUCUAAUUUCUCAUUUCUUUUAUUUUUUAUUUUUUUUUUCUUUUUAAAAGUUUUUGAUGAAAAGUAUUUGAGAAAAAAAAUAUUUCACUCUUUUGAAGAAACUAUGUAAAUGAUGAUUGCUUAUAUAACUUAAGUGUAAUUAUAUAAUGUGUGAAUACUAAACAAACAUGAUAGCUGUUAAUUAAUUUUUAUUGAUAGUUAGAGAUAAACAUAUUUGUUUUGAUUCUUACGCUAGUUAGUUUUCAAAGAAAAACUUUUCAUCAAAUUUUAUUAGGACAAGUAAUAUUUUGAUAAAUUUUUUUUCACCUAUAUAUAAUGUAUACAUUAAAAUAUUAUAUUUUUAUACGUUAAAAACUUUAACAUUUAAGAAAAUUUAUGAAUCAAUAAUAGAAAAAUAUAAAAUUUUAUCCGGAAAACUUUCCACAAAAUGCAUAAACAAAAAACAAACAAACCCUAAACCCUAUAAUCCUAAGCAUUAUUCUAAACUAAACCCUAAAUCCAACCUAAACUAUAAUCCUAAACGCUAAACCUCUCCUACUACCUAAACCCUAAAUCCUACCUAAGCCGAAACACUACCUAAACCUAACCCUUAACCCUUUCUAAACUUAAACCCUACAUAAACCUAACCCUAAUCCCUAAACCCUUCUACUACCUAAACUCUAAACCUAUCUAACCCUAAACCCUUCCUAACCCUAAAACCCUACCUAAAACCUAAACCUAACCCUAAACCCUACCUAACUCUAAACCCUAUCUAACCCUAAACCCUACUAACCCAAAACCCUUUCUAACCCUAAACCCUAAACCCUACCUAACCCUAAACCCUUUCUAACCCUAAACACUACCAAACCCUGAACCCUACCUAACCCUAAACCCUUUCCAACCCUAAACCCUUUCUAUCCAUAAACCCUUUCUAACCCUAAACCCUACCUAACCCUAAACCAUUUCUAACCCUAAACCCUACCUAACACAAAACCCUUUCUAACCUUAAACCCUACCAAACCCUAAACCCUACCAAACCCUAAAUCCUACCAAACCCUAAACCCUACCUAACCCUAAACCCUUUCUAACCCUAAACCCUACCUAACCCUAAACCCUUUGUAACCCUAAACCCUACCUAACCCUAAACCCUACUAACCCUAAACCCUACCUAACCCUCAAUCCUAUCUAACCCUAAACCCUACCUAACCCUAAACCCUACCUAACACUAAACCCUUUCUAACCCUAAACCCUACCUAACCCUAAACCCUACUAACCCUAAACCCUACCUAACCCUAAAUCCUUUCUAACCCUAAACCCUACUAACCCUAAACCC
This 1547-nucleotide long non-coding RNA is filed under the name Brassica napus (rape). RNAcentral's name for it is "long non-coding RNA (BNAP_LNC001032)". The record is from RNAcentral. Lineage: Eukaryota; Viridiplantae; Streptophyta; Magnoliopsida; Brassicales; Brassicaceae.